This 254-nucleotide ribosomal RNA is filed under the name uncultured bacterium. RNAcentral describes it as "partial 16S ribosomal RNA". It matches the Rfam family "Bacterial small subunit ribosomal RNA", at positions 524 to 776 of the family's 1533-position model. The record is from RNAcentral.
CACGUAGGGUGCGAGCGUUGUCCGGAAUUAUUGGGCGUAAAGAGCUCGUAGGCGGUGUGUCGCGUCGGCCGUGAAAACUUGCAGCUUAACUGUGGGCGUGCGGUCGAUACGGGCAUCACUGGAGUUCGGCAGGGGAGACUGGAAUUCCUGGUGUAGCGGUGAAAUGCGCAGAUAUCAGGAGGAACACCGGUGGCGAAGGCGGCGCACUGGCCCGAUACUGACGCUGAGGCACGAAAGCGUGGGGAGCAAACAGG